This 1791-nucleotide long non-coding RNA is filed under the name Pan troglodytes (chimpanzee). RNAcentral describes it as "long non-coding RNA NONPTRT010968". Lineage: Eukaryota; Metazoa; Chordata; Mammalia; Primates; Hominidae. The record is from RNAcentral.
UGGGGUGUCUAUGUCCAUUGGAUUUGAUUUAGUCUGGUUGUUGGAUUUAAAUUUUAUGGAUACAGCCUGAUGUAGACAAAGUAAUUGUGGGGCUGAGGUACAGCAAACUCUUUUGCCUAACAUCUUGCCACUGUUCUUUCCCGAAGUUUUAGUUUUUUGACUGUCUCCGGCAAAUUGUUAAAGUUGUCAGGAAAGAUGGACCUUUGCCUAAUGGCAGAGGAGUCCUUUUAGAACCCCAGCAACCUGCGUGGAGUUGCUAAUGCAGACUCUUCUUUCCCCCAACAGGAGUCUUGUAACGGAUGGUUUAGGAUCCAGGCAAGGCAGCCUUCAACACUCUCUGCAACCUAACCCCAGAGUUUACAGAUAGUACGUGUCGCAGUGGCUUAUGUUAACCCCCUUUCACUUCCAUCUGAUAUCUCGUUCGCACAGCGGCGAGUGGGUUUGUCACGUAUUAAUUUUUCAUUGCUGUGGAGAGUUGUACAUACAUAAUCACUUGAUUGCAGUGGGAGUUAGGGAGCUCCUAUGGUGCCAUUUGCCGCAUUAACAGCUCCUGAAACUUUGACACUGCUCACAGCGAGUUGGUUGACUGCCUCACCGGCGUGUGCUGCUUUCAUGGAGGAAACAAAUGUGAAGACCACGCUGAAACUUGAUAGAGAUCGGAGGAGAUGGAGAGGAAUGGCAGUGCCCUUCCUUCAGGGGCAUGGAGAGAGGAGCUCCACAGGCCUGCGGCCUCUCUGCGUAGGCAGAGGUUUACAGGAGGAUGGCUCACGUUUAUUAAGCCCCACCAAUGAGGAACCAAGGUGAGCGAGAGGCUCAGGAAAAGUUCCUUUAUCUCCCUCGCAGGGCAUGUGAUGGGCUGUGGCUCACUUCUUUGGUGUCCUGCAGCUCAGACCCCUAGGGGGGCGGGCAGGCAGUCAGGCGGGUUGUGGGGAGCAUGGGCUCUGAUCCCACAGCAUGGUCUAGGGCUGGGUGUUCACAGCUCCUGAAGCCCCAGUGGGCGUGUGUUACAGUGUGCUUUUCGGUUUGGCUGUCCACAGGCAGCCUGUGAAAGUACUCCGACUUGGGAGUUUCCAUUGAAACUUUCCUAAGUUGUGGUAAACUGUUGUCAUUUGAAUUAAGACUGUUGCUGGAACGAAUCCUUACACCAGGUGUGUAGCUCUCACUCUGUGCAGUGCGUUUUACAGCUGUUGAGGCCUUUCAGUCCCGUCCAUGGGAGACCUCCUUCAGGCUGGUUUUGAAAACCAAAGCUCCCUUCCCUUGCAGAGGCAGCUCCUCAGGGCCACAGGUAAAUGUUGGGCCUGCAGCUGGGGAUGUUCAGGAAGAGCCUGUGGAUUGAGCAGGUGCCCACUGUCCGUCAGUUGUGUCACUGGUUGCUUUGACAGUGGCCUCCCAGAGUGCUGGGAUUUCUCCAAGUCUUUGAGUGAAAUUGAUUCUCCACGCAGACUCUCCUUGCUCACCCUGAGGUUUCAGGGCUUUGACCUGAGGGCUGAGACCCCAGGGCACAGCUCCUGACCCACGUGGCUGAAGGGCUUGGAGCAGGAGGUAAGGGCUGCCGGCGUACCUCCAAGGUGAUGAAUAUUUCUACUUGAUAUUUCUCAUGGUAUUUCUGCACUUUAAUGACUAUUUCUACUAAUACUUGUACUAAUAAUUUUUAAUGGUUCACAUUGAGUAGGUGACAUUUUGAUACAUUAAUGAGCCUUAUCAAUGACUUUUAAAAGUUCUUUAGUGUGCCAGGAUACUUUGCUGCAGCCCCUGGAAGGAAGGGGAGAGGGUGUGGCUGUGGCCGUGGCU